GAUGAAGAACGUAGCGAAAUGCGAUAAGUAAUGUGAAUUGCAGAAUUCAGUGAAUCAUCGAAUCUUUGAACGCAUCUUGCGCUCCUUGGUAUUCCGAGGAGCAUGCCUGUUUGAGUGUCAUUAAAGUUCUCAACCACAUUACUAGAUAUGUGGCUUGGAUGUGGGGGUUUGCAGGCUUUCUCUGAGGGUCUGCUCCUCUGAAAUGCAUUAGUGUAUUCCUGAGCUUUACUACAGAUGUGAUAAUUUAUCUACAUCCCAAAAGUAUGCUUCAGCAACACCGCUCCUAACAAGCGAAAGCACAUUUUGAUGAAUUUGACCUCAAAUCAGGUAGGACUACCCGCUGAACUUAAGCAUAUCAAUAAGCGGAGGA
RNAcentral lists this unclassified non-coding RNA (370 nucleotides) under soil metagenome. RNAcentral describes it as "partial contains 5.8S ribosomal RNA, internal transcribed spacer 2, and large subunit ribosomal RNA". The stretch from base 1 to 120 matches the Rfam family "5.8S ribosomal RNA", at positions 35 to 154 of the family's 154-position model. The record is from RNAcentral.